AAUGUUUUAUAUACUAAACUUGUUAUAUUCUGAACUCAAACGUACAGGUUUUAUGUGAAAUUGCUGUAACUUACAGAAAGUCAAUAGUUUGGAAGAUUUGGUCUGAUUCAAAGAACUCAUCUGAUCAAAUAUACCCUUAUCAGCCAAACAUAGUUGAUUGGCUUUCAACUCAUGUUUAAUUUCAUUGUUUUGGGAUAAAUUGAGAGGGAUAUCUGAGAUAAAAAAAAGGAAUCAAGUCUUUCCACUCUCCCCUACAUGUGUUUAUUUUAAUCAUAACAUUAUUGAAAAGUAUAUCUUUUCGAUACAAGUGCUGAAGUAUAACUAUUCUACCCUUGUAUCGACAAUUUUUACGCUAUGGAUUUGCUUGGGCUUCUGCUUAAAUGUUUAUGUGAGUCAAAAUUCAACUUAAAAACAUAUUUCAAAAAUUCAAUAUGUUAGAACUUUUCCAAUGGUUCGUUUCGCUCCAAAACGUAAAAAAAUGUGUUAAGAUGUUCAAAUAAACUUUACUAAAUAAUGGAACGUAGGAAACUAAUCUUUUCCAAUAUUUCAGUUAUUUUUAUUUAUUAAUAUCUGUGGCAUUUUCGGAUGAAUGGUGAAUGAUAGUGCAACACGAUGUUUGUUUUGUGCAAUUAAGGCAAUUUAUUUACUUCCGCUUGUGUCAAUCACGCAAAAUCCAGAUAACACAGAUCUGUGUAAAAAAAUUACACAGAUUGUUGUUCAGUUCUAGCUUUCAUAAUCUGAGUAAUUUUUCUACACAGAUCUGUGUAAAAAAAUACACAGAUUUUUGAAAAGCCGUUCUUUCAAAUCUGUGUAAAAAACAGUUGUCAUUUUUUAUCAGGCGCCAUUAAAGUUCUUCGUGAAGCUGGUAAGUUUUAUUUCUCUAAUUGAGUUAUUUCUUUAUUUAAAAUUAGUUUUCUAUUUCAGACUUUGGCCAUCUUCCAAACUUUAACCAGUACCUAAUGAAAUGAUUGUUUGUGGAACCUGUUUCCGGAAUAUUCCUGUUGGUAAAAGUAAAAGUGGCCACAGGUUCCGGAAGCCAGCUUGGGUGGCACUUUACGACGUCAUCCUCGCCGUCAUUGUUAUGUUGUUUUCGUCGCUAUCGGGAGAAGCCAACUCUAGCCCAAAAAUUACGGUAAUCGACAGUCACAAAA
Culex pipiens pallens (northern house mosquito) is the source of this 1151-nucleotide long non-coding RNA. RefSeq lists it as uncharacterized. The transcript is spliced from 2 exons. The record is from RefSeq and is a predicted model, not a curated record. Lineage: Eukaryota; Metazoa; Arthropoda; Insecta; Diptera; Culicidae.